AAAAGUACAUUUUGGACUCGUGUUUUUCUUCCAAACGUAGGAGCAGAAGUCCUUGCAUUACAAAUCUGGGCCACAAGAUGGCAGUGAUGACCGGAAGUUUAUUUUCGAUCUUUCUUUCAACUUUUGUCCAAUUAGGGAGGACACAUGAAACAAAUCAUAGCGUGCACUUUCACACGAAUACCUUCUUAUAAUUAAGUUUAUUAGAUGUAAAGAGAUGGUUCCGUCCUCUGAUUGGUUUAGAGCGACUCGACUGGAUUUACCCUACAGCACUUGACGUGAAGCCGGUGGCUGAGCGAGAUGACAAACACGACGGGAAAUAAAAAUGGUUAAAAAUUGUUUUUCAUCAAGGACUUUUCAAGAAACCGGACGUUGUGACAAAGAGCCCAACAAUAUUUCCAAACUGUCUGGAACGUUAAGGAUUUUUUUUUUCUUCCGCCUCUUCUGCAAAAGUACGAGUUUGUCUAAAAAAGAAAAAUGUGAAUCUCGGGGACCUGAACGGUCACAAAUGGAGUGGAGCGUCUUACUUUGCCCACAAUGCUGCCAACGGUUACGAUGGAUCCUUUGGGGGCUCCGGAGGCCACCAGGGCCCGGGCCACGGCCCGGAUGACCAAAAAAGAGCCCUGGAGAG
Syngnathoides biaculeatus (alligator pipefish) is the source of this 628-nucleotide long non-coding RNA. RefSeq lists it as uncharacterized. The transcript has 3 exons. Lineage: Eukaryota; Metazoa; Chordata; Actinopteri; Syngnathiformes; Syngnathidae. The record is from RefSeq and is a predicted model, not a curated record.